Numida meleagris (helmeted guineafowl) is the source of this 2476-nucleotide long non-coding RNA. The record is from Ensembl. NCBI's taxonomy places the organism in Eukaryota, Metazoa, Chordata, Aves, Galliformes, Numididae.
GUUGGAAACAGACCAGAGGUUAACUAGGAAUUUCACCCUCCACAUUAAGAGCUACAACUUUAGGAGCCUGUGGUUUACUCCUUUUCAUAAGCUAAGCAGAGCCAGGCAACCUUUCAGAGAGGGGUGACAGAUUAUUCACAAUUAAAACACUGGACUGUUUCCAUUUGCUUUACGAACUAUAGGAAAGCUCUCCAUAUGGAUUGGUUUUCCAUGGCAGUUUUGCAGUGCUCCCUCAUCAGUGUGCAUAGAGCAGAUAUUUUCUUCAGAAGACAUGCUGGCAUGAAUUUCUGGCCCAUUAUAAUUCCAUAAGCUAUAUCUAGAAGCCUUUGAGAGUUGUUAGCAGCCCGUUAUAUCAGUCUCAUAUCUCACCCUUAUCACUUAUUACUUCCUUCAGAAUAGAGGCUUGAUUUUGGACUUAUUUCAGAACAAUCCUGUUCCCCCAGUGCAGGAAACAUCUCAGGACAGACACCUUAGAGCUAUCCUUCUAGUUUAUAGCCCUCUGCCACUUUAAUCUUUGGCUCCACCAUGACUUUGUGCAAAUAUCCAUCAGUGUGCUUCUGCAGCUACACAAACUGCUCCAUCUAUUCCAUGAAGUUGUUUGCCAUAUGUUUCACAGUGACGCCAAGCACUGGGUCAGUGUGACCAAUCGUACAGUUGGAUUCACCAACUCAGCAAACUGUAUGGCAACAGUUAUUUAACAAUAAAUGACAGUGCCUAAUCUAAAUCUGUGGAGAGGACAGCAGGAGAAACUCCUAAGAAAAAGGAAGGCUGAAAACCUUGUUCAUCUAUCAGUGACCAGGAAGCCAAGUGUAAAGCAAUUACUCCUCCUGCAGCAGAUCCAGUCCAUGUCUCAGCCACUGCCAGCAGAAGGACACAGAGGUGGGUGGCCCAGGCCAAGAGAGCAGCCCUUGGAAAAGCUUCCAUCUCAAGCUCUGCCACAGAGCUCCUCUCUCCUGCUCUCAUCUCCAGCUCUUCUCCCUCAGAUUCAGAAGUAAAAAAGCGCUCCAUGUGUUUCAUUUGCAGGGUUCAAGACAGCUUAGUAUUAGCUUAGCUCUGGCUCCUAUUCACAACAGGAACCAUGCUGAACUUCAAGCCCAGAUUCAGUCUCAAGCUUCAUUUCAGAAAUGUUUGGAGUUUGAUUUAGACCUGAAUCUAAUUUGUAACCUCUGUUCGCUUCAUAAGAAAUGUUUGCAUGUCCCUACAGCCUUGAGGCAGCCCACUCCUUCCUGGUGCCUACUGGGAAAUCAAACUCAGACCCAGCCCUUGACAGAGCUUGGGGGAUAACAAAUGGGCUGCUUAUAUGAAACACAAAAAGGAGAAGGAUUUGGAUUCAUGGAAGUCAACAGGCAGAGCAGAGCGUACGUCAGGAGGAUGUCGGUAACGGGAAGAGUUGUCACUGAGCCCCAAAUCGAGAGAGAAAGACUGUUGAAAUAGGUAAUGGAGAGAGCAGCACCUGAUAGCCACUGCAGGGAACUUAUGGAGCCAGCCACAAAGAAGAGGAGGCUCUGGUUAUAUUUUCUUGCAAGAGAUCUGACUUAGACCCAGUGGGACAAGAAGCCAAUUCCACAGGAGAUCUGUGCUUGGGGGCCAAGGCAGAGCUCAUCCUGUGCUCCGAGACAGAUUUAUCCAGAAGCACAAAUUUACACCCAGAUUUGCUACAGCUUUCUUGUUGAUACAAGCCUGAAAGCUCCUUGGACAGCAUAGCAGAGUGGGACCCUUGUCUUUUACUGGGCACCACAGGAUGGUGACAUUAGUGACAAGUCACACUGCUGCCCAUGAUGCUGAUAGCAAGCAACACUGACAGUUCCUGCUUUCUGUGGGGCAGAACAGUUGUUCAUGCCUCCCAGCUUCCAUGGACCACCUCACCCCUGACACCAGACUGCCCUGAUAAGGGGAGCACCCUCACAGAGACUCCUUGAAAUUUGCCUGCAGCUUUUGCAUGCAUCUCUUUCCUCCCACGCUCUUUCCCAGUGAGCACCAGUUUGAAAGCUACUGCCAGCAGCACCUCCCAGAACAUUUAUUUGCUAGUGCACGAACGAGCAUCAGCCAACCACCUGAACUGCCUGGUAAAAAAAAAACAAACUAUGGCUUAUUUUCACCUGCUCCUCCUGCAACCAGAACAAAAUGGGAAAGCAAUUGCUCUGAAAGAUGCAGGCAGUGAGAACAGAUGCUGAGCUGGAAGUGCUAACUCCUCUGUCAAGUUAAUUGUCAGCCUCUUGCAGGUUGGUGCAGCUCAGUUUUGAAAGCUUGUAUAGAAAUCCAAUUAUGUGUUGGCUGAGGAAUUUUUAUUGAUAAAUAACUUACCAGAGCAACACAAGGGAGGGCGGUGAAUGGGUGUUACUCCUACAGAAAAAGGCAAAAAAAGUCUUAAAGUUGUGAUGGAUUUUUAGUCUCUCGAAACUACUCCCAUGUGAGUUUCACUAGUAAACCCUGCCCUGGCAAGCAGCCAUCAGGAAUAAAAGCUGACCUGAGAACA